This 223-nucleotide ribosomal RNA is filed under the name uncultured bacterium. Its description in RNAcentral is "partial 16S ribosomal RNA". It matches the Rfam family "Bacterial small subunit ribosomal RNA", at positions 111 to 334 of the family's 1533-position model. The record is from RNAcentral.
UAACGCGUGGGUAACCUGCCCUGUACACACGGAUAACAUACCGAAAGGUAUGCUAAUACGAGAUAAUAUGCUUUUAUCGCAUGGUAGAAGUAUCAAAGCUCCGGCGGUACAGGAUGGACCCGCGUCUGAUUAGCUAGUUGGUGAGGUAACGGCUCACCAAGGCGACGAUCAGUAGCCGACCUGAGAGGGUGAUCGGCCACAUUGGAACUGAGACACGGUCCAA